GCCCCCUUGCUUUGCGGUACAUACACCAACACUGGAAUGAGGCCGAGAGAUUAGCGUGGCCCCUGUGGGAGGAGAACACGAAAAUUCAUGAAGCGUUUCAUAUGUUU
Small nuclear RNA from Cebus imitator (Panamanian white-faced capuchin), 107 nucleotides. Lineage: Eukaryota; Metazoa; Chordata; Mammalia; Primates; Cebidae. The record is from Ensembl.